This is a long non-coding RNA of Arvicola amphibius (Eurasian water vole), 1515 nucleotides long. RefSeq lists it as uncharacterized. NCBI's taxonomy places the organism in Eukaryota, Metazoa, Chordata, Mammalia, Rodentia, Cricetidae. The record is from RefSeq and is a predicted model, not a curated record. The transcript has 2 exons.
UAUAGUAUAUAUUCUCACAUAUAUUCCCGUCUAUAUACAUAUAUGUACACAUAUAUUCAUACAUACACAUAUAUAGUGACUUAUGUGUAUUAUAGGUAUUUUUCAGAUAUUUGCACUGUUAAAAAAUGAAAAAAAAUCAAAACAUACCAUAUAACAAUACACAGAAUCAAUCUAAGAGCUGCUUAUUUGAGAAGAUAAGAUUGGCAGACCUUUAUUUGGCCCAAGUAAUUAAAAGAAAGAUAAAACCCAACAUAGUCAGAAAUGAACAGGGAUAUAUUACAAGAGAAACCAAAGAAAUUCAAAUUUUAUAAGAUAUAUUUUAAAAUCUUGUAUUCCCUUAACGUGGAAAACCUAAAAGAAAUGGAUGAAUUUCUAGAUUCAGCUAAACCACCAAAGUGAAACCAAGAAGCCAACAACCUGAUUGGAUCCAUAACAAAUGAGAUUGAAAUAAUAUAAAAAAUUCCAGUUUAAAACUGGAUACGCAUCAGAAUUCUACCAGAUGUUCAAAGAUCUAUAGCCAGUCCUUCCUAUAUAACAAGAAACAGAAGGUGCACUCCACUGUAAUUCUAAAACAGGAAAAGACAGCAAAAAAAAAAAAAAAAAAACCACUAGAGCUAUAGAUUCAAAAUGCUCAAUAAAUACUGGCAAACAGAAUACACAUAUUGAAAGUAGUAUCUACCGUGACCAAGUUAGCUUUAUCCCUGAAAUGCAAGGAUGAUUCAAUAUGCAAGUCAAUAAAUGCAAUGAACCAUAUAAACGGACUUAAAAAGAAAAAUCACAUGGACAUAAUAGAUACAGAAAAAGCCUUUGACAAAAACAUGCAUUCGUGGUUAAAAAAAAAGUCCUAGAGAAUGUAGGGCUAGAAGGGUCAUAAUUCAACAUAAUAAAAGCUAUAUACAAGACUCCCACACACAGUGGAGAAAAGAUAGAAACAAUCCCACCAAAGGAAAAGACCCCACACAGUAGAGAAAAGGUAGAAACAAUCCCAUCAAAGGCAAAGACCCCACACAGUGGAGAAAAGGUAGAAACAGUCCCACCAAAGGCAAAGACUCCACACAGUGGAGAAAAGAAACAAUCCCACCAAAGGCACAAAUGAGAAAAUGACGUUCACUACCCCCACUCCCUUUCAAUAUUGUGCUAGAAAUACUAGCUAGAGCAAUAAGGCAAGAGAAGGAAAUUAAAGUGAUACAAACAGGGAAAGGCGGAGACAAACUUAGCAAUGUGGCAGGGUAUGAAGCAACCUCAGCCACACUCACUGCUGCUCUAUUCACAAUAGCUAGGAAAUGGAAACAACCAAUAAGCGGAUGAGGAAAAUGGCGCGUCUACACUAUGGGAAGCUCUCCAGAUGUUAAAAAAAUAAAGUCAUGAACUUUGCACAUAAAUUGAUAGAAGUAAAAAGAUCCCAUUGAGUGAGGUCCCUUUCUAUUGUUUUCCAUGGCUCCCUUCUUCCUUCCCAAGAGGCAUGCUGUUCUCUUAUUUCUGGGAUCCUUAAGUAAUAAAAAGCUGCUUCUGUUA